This 407-nucleotide ribosomal RNA is filed under the name uncultured bacterium. RNAcentral's name for it is "partial 16S ribosomal RNA". It matches the Rfam family "Bacterial small subunit ribosomal RNA", at positions 30 to 526 of the family's 1533-position model. The record is from RNAcentral.
AUUGAACGCUAGCGGGAUGCCUUACACAUGCAAGUCGAACGGAGUGGCGAACGGGUGAGUAAUGUAUCGGAACGUGCCCAGUAGCGGGGGAUAACUACGCGAAAGCGUAGCUAAUACCGCAUACUAUUGGAGCGGCCGAUAUCGGAUUAGCUAGUUGGUGGGGUAACGGCUCACCAAGGCGACGAUCCGUAGCUGGUUUGAGAGGACGACCAGCCACACGGGGAGUGAGACAGGGCCCAGACUCCUACGUGAGGCAGCAGUGGGGAAUGUUGGACAAUGGGGGAAACCCGGUUCUAGCCAGCGCGCGUGUGCGAUGAAGGGGUUCGGGUUGUAAAGCACUUUUGGCAGGAAAGCGGUACCUGCAGAAUAAGCACCGGCUAACUACGUGCCAGCAGCCGCGGGAAUUU